Molecule: transfer RNA, 70 nt
Filed under: Rhacodactylus auriculatus (New Caledonia bumpy gecko)
Lineage: Eukaryota; Metazoa; Chordata; Lepidosauria; Squamata; Diplodactylidae
Description: partial tRNA-Tyr
Rfam family: tRNA
About the family: Transfer RNA (tRNA) molecules are approximately 80 nucleotides in length. Their secondary structure includes four short double-helical elements and three loops (D, anti-codon, and T loops).
Source: RNAcentral
AGGUAGGGUGGCCGAYAGUUAGGUGGCAGGCUGUAGUCCUGUUAAUAUAGGUUUAAAUCCUGUUUCUACC